UACAAGAGUUUAAAAAACCCUUGUACAUCUUUUAAAACCCUUUUAAACCCUUUUAAAAUCUCUUGUAAAUCUUUAAAACCCUUUUAAAAUCCCUUGUAAAUCUUUUAAAUCAUUUUUAAGCCCUUUAAAAUCCCUUGUAAAUAUUUUAAAACCCUUUUAAAAUCCCUUGUAAAUCUUUUAAAACCCUUUUAAAAUUCCUUGUAAAUCUUUUAAAACCCUUUUAAAAUUACUUGUAAAUAUUUUAAAACACUUUUCAAACAAUUUAAAAAUCCCUUGUGAAGCUUUGUAAAUCUUUUAAAGCCCUUUAAAAUCCCUUUUAAAAUCCCGUAUAAAUCUUUUAAAACACUUUUAAAAUCCCUUGUGAAGCUAUUUCCCGCCAAAAAAAAAAUUGGCGAGAAAUUUUUUUUUCAAAAUUUUUUGGCGAGAAAUUUAUUUUGGAAUAUUUUAAGCGAAAAAUAUUAAUAUUUCAUUUUGUUUACCUAAAACAAUUUCCAAAUAGGGGUAAAAUGGUCAUUAAAAAAUUUAAAGAGGGUAGAAAUGAAAAUGACAAAUAGGAAAGAGUAUAAUUAAAAAAGGAUAAUGUGAAAAGGUCAUUUUCAGCAAUUAUUCAGAAAAGAAUAUAAGAUAAUGAUUCUGUCGGAAAAUU
RNAcentral lists this small RNA (646 nucleotides) under Arabidopsis thaliana (thale cress). Its description in RNAcentral is "ATSL172970". Lineage: Eukaryota; Viridiplantae; Streptophyta; Magnoliopsida; Brassicales; Brassicaceae. The record is from RNAcentral.